RNAcentral lists this signal recognition particle RNA (131 nucleotides) under Amphidinium carterae. RNAcentral's name for it is "partial Metazoan signal recognition particle RNA". It matches the Rfam family "Metazoan signal recognition particle RNA", at positions 110 to 239 of the family's 299-position model. From Rfam's summary of the family: The signal recognition particle (SRP) is a universally conserved ribonucleoprotein. Lineage: Eukaryota; Dinophyceae; Amphidiniales; Amphidiniaceae. The record is from RNAcentral.
CUUCACCAUGCUUGAGGUCCACAAGGGCUUCUGACUGAAAAGUUGGAAGUCCUGGUGGCUGAGGAAGAGGAGAAAGGUUGAGGCUGGGCACAGAGCAAAUGAACCCUCUCGCCUCAAGCAGUGGUAAGACA